GACCAGAGGGCCAGUAUGGUUUGAGUGUUGGACUAUGACUCUGGAGACCAGGGUUCGAAUCCCAGCUUGGCCA
Phrynosoma platyrhinos (Desert horned lizard) is the source of this 73-nucleotide non-coding RNA. NCBI's taxonomy places the organism in Eukaryota, Metazoa, Chordata, Lepidosauria, Squamata, Phrynosomatidae. The record is from the annotation of a GenBank genome assembly.